This 468-nucleotide ribosomal RNA is filed under the name uncultured bacterium. RNAcentral describes it as "partial 16S ribosomal RNA". It matches the Rfam family "Bacterial small subunit ribosomal RNA", at positions 28 to 507 of the family's 1533-position model. The record is from RNAcentral.
GACGAACGCUGGCGGCGUGCUUAACACAUGCAAGUCGAACGGAAAGGCCCUUCUUUUGUUGGUUGCUCGAGUGGCGAACGGGUGAGUAACACGUGAGUAACCUUCCCUUGACUUUGGGAUAACUUCAGGUAACUGUGGCUAAUACCGGAUCGGCGCUCCUGCUGCAUGGUGGGGGUUGGAAAGUUUCGUCGGUUGGGGCUGGACUCGCGGCUUUUCAGCUUGUUGGUGGGGUAGUGGCUUACCAAGGCUUUGACGGGUAGCCGGCCUGAGAGGGUGACCGGCCACAUUGGGACUGAGAUACGGCCAAGACUCCUACGGGAGGCAGAAGUGGGGAAUAUUGAACAAUGGGCGGAAGCCUGAUGCAGCAACGCCGCGUGCGGGAUGACGGCCUUCGGGUUGUAAACCGCUUUCGCCUGUGACGAAGCGUGAGUGACGGUAAUGGGUAAAGAAGCACCGGCUAACUACGUG